ACAAUGGGAGGAAGUGAGAAGUUGACAUCCAUUAAGCACAAACACUGCUGCUGCUGCUCCGACCUUUACUGAAGAAAUUAGCAACUGGCUCUCUGCACGGCUGUGCCUCCUCCCUGCCUCAGUGGGAACCACCAAACUCUUGCCGGGGGAGCACUGGAGAGAGAGUCUGAUAAGCUUUGAAAAGAGGUGGCAAGGAAAAACAGCUCCCUGUGGACACUGCCGACAUAGAAAAAGGCCAAGACUAGCAACGCCGUUGGGAAGAAGGGGAUCCAAGAAUGAAACGCUCUUCUCUGACUUCGCUCUACUCCUGACCUUCCAUUUCCUGACCUACAUCCAUCUGUGUGCAUCAGUGGAUCAUUUUUACCCCGAAUCCUCAAUGCUGAAAAGGAUCACACGCUCUUCACAAGUUUGCCAUUAAACAACUCAUAUCAAAGCAUGUCUGCUUAGAUUAAUGAUAACGAGCUAAUGCCCAGACCAGAGACUGAAACUUUCCAAAUAUCUUCUUACACACUCAACAGCCUGAAUAACUCUUUGGGGUAAAACUAUUUCUACAGCUAAUUUUUUUUCAACUCUAUCUUUCGAAACACACGCAUGUGACAGGAACAGCCAAGAUACUGUCAGUAUCUUUGAAAAAUUCUGCCUGAAACAAGGGAUCUGUAUUUAGAUAUGACUGAAGAGGAAAUCAGAUCUCUUGUUCAGCUCUCCAAAAGAUCUGUGAUGCGUUGCAUUUAAACAUGUGCUUCCUCUCACUCAGAUCUUGCUCAGAAUACCAGCAAUGCCUCUCAACUGAGAAAGCUAUUCUCAUCCUGUGCUCCUGCAAGGAUCAUAUAAACUUCCAAAUGCAUCAUGUCCUGAUCACUUAAGGUGAGGGUCAGGGAACUCAAAUGUAUGCACAAGCCAAGGUGGUGCUGGCGCUGGGCCUUGUAAAAGAGCAAAGGAGGCUGAAUGGCAAACCAGCCUAGAGGUUGUAUCAAGAACAAGGGCAAAUGGCAGCCAAUAUUGGACUUCAGGGUCAGUUAGAACAAGGGUACCUUGGAGACUGGAGCAAAAUGGAGAGGGUGGUCUCAGCUGGCCGAGCUCAGUCACCAGCUCUUCGGAUUCCAAGGUCUAAGUUCUCAAGAGUGGCUAGCAUCAAGAUUUAUGACUGAAGACUCCAAGUUAUCCAUUUUAACUUUGCGUUUAAGCAGGUCUCUUUCAUCCCUCAUUUCCUCACCUACAAAUAGGGAAAUCCCACCUAGCUCAGAGCGGGGAUUCGUGGAAAGAACAAAUGAAUGGCUCCAACACAAACAGUGCGCAAAUGUUCUUCUCCCUCCCCAAGCCUGCAGCCUCCCACUCAAGCCCCAUCCUUUUCUAGUUUAUGACCCAAAGCGACAAACGUACAAAACUGAAAUACUGGCUGAACUAAAGAGAAGCUUGAAGAAAUAGACAAGUUAUAAAUCUCAUUUCCUUUUUCUUACUCAUCAAUAUAAAUUUGCUCAGUGACAGAUUAACGAAAAAGCUAUCAAUUCCAAGAAGCUGGAUGCAAAAACCCAACAUCAAGUACACAGUAGCCCGUAUCAACAGCCAGUAAUAAUUUUUACUGCUGCCUGUUAUGCUAGUUGCCAGGACAUGUUUCUUUCUUUUUUUUUUUUAAUCUUGGAUGUUGUUUUAAAUAUAGUAAUAAAAGAAAAUAUGAC
Molecule: long non-coding RNA, 1676 nt
Filed under: Sus scrofa (pig)
Lineage: Eukaryota; Metazoa; Chordata; Mammalia; Artiodactyla; Suidae
Description: lncRNA (ENSSSCG00040073544.1)
Source: RNAcentral